Molecule: non-coding RNA, 107 nt
Organism: Glycine soja
Lineage: Eukaryota; Viridiplantae; Streptophyta; Magnoliopsida; Fabales; Fabaceae
Source: Rfam
CUUUUAUUGGACGUUGAUAAUUAUAUGUCAUGAUUUUGUUAGAGGUUAACGUUAAUUAAGUGUAUAAAAUUAUCCAAUAAAAUCAUGACACAUGACGAUUAACGUUC